AGCGCAGGUGGUUGUAUAAGUCUGAAGUAAAAGGCAGUGGCUCAACCAUUGUGUGCUUUGGAAACUGUACAACUUGAGUGCAGAAGGGGAGAGUGGAAUUCCGUGUGUAGCGGUGAAAUGCGUAGAUAUAUGGAGGAACACCGGUGGCGAAAGCGGCUCUCUGGUCUGUAACUGACACUGAGGCUCGAAAGCGUGGGAGCAAACA
RNAcentral lists this ribosomal RNA (205 nucleotides) under uncultured bacterium. Its description in RNAcentral is "partial 16S ribosomal RNA". It matches the Rfam family "Bacterial small subunit ribosomal RNA", at positions 568 to 774 of the family's 1533-position model. The record is from RNAcentral.